AUUUCUACUGGCUCCUUUGGCACAGCUGGUGGAAAUAAAACUCAUAGUACACCCUGACUCCUGUCUCACCCACCAUGAUUCACCACCACCAUCAUCUCAGAAUGUUGAAAGCAGAACCUCAUUGCCUACAGCUGAACUAUGUGAGCUACACAAAACAUGAAGCUGAAAUUAAAACAACCAGAGGGAGAGAGGACAAAUGGAAAAAGAAGUUGCUGUUCAACUACACAAACUCCGGAGAGACAUGAGACACCCAAUGCUUCUCUCAAUCUUUGAGAGAGGGAGCCACAAUUUAAUGAAAACUAUGGAAAACAGGCUCAAUGAAGAAAAUAUUAAAAUAAUUAUUAAAGGUAAGCAAUUAAUGUCACUUAUUUUAGAAGAGUUCUUCUUUUCUUUUUCAGAUGAUGAUCAGUGGUUCUUAGUCCUGAUUUGGUUAGCAUUAGAGGUUAGUUUUAAAGGGGACUGCAUUGGAUGCCAUAAGUUCAAUGGGUUGGGGGGAAUAGGCACAAUCUUCUCUUAAGGCAGUUUUCAAACUAUGUGUGAUUAUCUCUUCAUCUAUUCCAAAUAAAGAAGAAAUAUGUAGGUGGGUUUUCAUUGAUCAUUUGAUUUUAUACAAUUCAUGGAUGAAGUAUUUGAUGUAAGACAUUAAGAUCCCUACUUUAGUUCGUAUUGCCUCUUUUCCCAUUAUCCUCUGCUGCCUGCUCCCACACUGAAACUCACUGGGUUGAGGGUGGAAGACGAUGAAAAGACAAUGAUGAAACAAACUGAUAAAAGCAAUGGGCAUUGAUAAGGUGGCAAAUGUUUAACAACCUUCUCUGAGGAGAGGGGUGCUUCGAUUUGUAGUAACUGCCAGUUUUCAUGGGUGUAAAUACUCCCAUCAUGACUGAUUUCAAGAAAACAAUACAGCAUCAACUGGAUGAAAAUUCAGGAGAAACAUCAGCUCUCUUGAAGUAGCAUAAGAAGUUCUAGCACACACUGAAUAGGCAUUAGCCAGGUGAUUUAGAAGCUUGCUAGGAACUGCCAGGAGGAAGUAAGCUGUCUGGGGCUGGGAUAGUCAACAGCAGUGGAAGGUAUGAAAAUAUGGUAAAUUAGGGACACAAGGAGUUGCUAUGGUAAAGGACUGGGUUUGUGAUAGGAUGUCAGGGUAGAGAAGAAGCAUGGGGAAAGAGUGUGGAGGGCCGGAUACGUCAUACUAAGCAGUCAGGAAUUUAUCUUGUGAACAGAAAUAACCUGAAACAUGAAGGUGUAUUUUAUUGUAGAGUAAUGGCAAAAAUCAUUUAUUUUAGGAAAAUAACUGAUACUGUAUGAAUCAUAGAUAUAUUCUAAGUCCAAUUUGUGUUAUCUUAAGCAAAAAUUAGAAAGUUAUUUUAACAAUUACAGCUUUAUAACAAUUCAUUGGGCCUAAUGAAACCCAAAGUUUACUUGGGUUUUCAAAAACUACCAAGCCCUGGAAGCUGUCAUGAAUCCAAGACAUGUUUUCCCUCUGUUUCUUUAGUUUUCUCUAUACCUCUAUUUAUUUUUUUCAGAGAGUGGUCUUCUGGACCCAAUUAAAAAUUCCUGAAAAAGAAUCUGGUUUAUUUGUCUCUGAUUUGCCCCUUAUCCUAUCACUUAUCCAUGAUAAAGGUGGUGUCUUAAUCAGUUGUUUUUAUAACAA
Non-coding RNA from Ictidomys tridecemlineatus (thirteen-lined ground squirrel), 1651 nucleotides. The record is from RefSeq and is a predicted model, not a curated record. NCBI's taxonomy places the organism in Eukaryota, Metazoa, Chordata, Mammalia, Rodentia, Sciuridae.